RNAcentral lists this ribosomal RNA (927 nucleotides) under Caenocholax sp. 2 DPM-2010. RNAcentral's name for it is "partial 18S small subunit ribosomal RNA". The record is from RNAcentral. Lineage: Eukaryota; Metazoa; Arthropoda; Insecta; Strepsiptera; Myrmecolacidae.
UAUCUCGUACUUUCGAAUUCCCGCGAUUUUAUUCGUGUGGUUUUUGUUAUUUUAUUGUACGAGAUAUAUAUGCUGGUGGAUGUUUAGAAAUUGUAUGUUUUAGACGAACAUUUUUUGUUUGCCUCUAAUCGUACACUUUCGAUAUUCGAUACGAUGGGUUUAUUUAAAAAUUUUACUAAAAUAUGAAAAAUUAUAAACGGUCGUCAAUUGAGAACGUAUUGUUUUUUUCUUUAAAAAAAUGUACGUUUGCUUGAGAUUGUUCGAUAAGUUUUUCAUUUUUUCAUUUUUUUGGUGAAUGAUUAGAUUCAAUCGUAUUCCGGAUUGUGUUGAAAACGUUGCGGUCAGUGAUGCGGUUUUGUAAAAAAAAUUGUGUCAACGCGCACGUUUUUGGCCAUUUGGACCAGCGAAAUUACUUUGAACAAAUUAGAGUGCUUAAAGCAGGCAAAUUUUAUGCCUUGAAUAUAAACAGCAUGGAAUAAUAGAAUAUGAUCUCGAUACUGUUUGUUUAAUGUUUUUUUAUUCGUUUGUUUAAAGAAACAUUUUUCGUUUAUUUUUUAUGCUUAGGUGUAUUUGUAAGCGAAAUAAAAUUGGCUUAAAGUGACAUUAAUAGCAUUUUGGUUUAAAGCAGUAACUGUAAAGUUGAUUGAAUAGUUUUCUUUGUCGUCGAAGUAUUUAAAAAGUUAUCAUGUAGCUCUUGGAAAUUUAUUUCACGUUUGUUUGCUCUAACGAUGUACUCGUGUUUGAAUUUCAUUCAUUUGUGCGCAUCGUUAAAACAAAUGUUAAAAGAGAGUGUUAUCGUGCUUGUCACGUUAACUUAAGUACAUUAAGUGAUAAUUUGCUUUGUACGAUAAACGAAUUAAUCUAUUCGACAAAUAUCAAUCUUUGUUAGGUUGCUGUGACAAUUUGCACUUUGUUCCACGACAGUAU